RNAcentral lists this long non-coding RNA (419 nucleotides) under Equus asinus (donkey). RNAcentral describes it as "lncRNA (ENSEASG00005034835.1)". Lineage: Eukaryota; Metazoa; Chordata; Mammalia; Perissodactyla; Equidae. The record is from RNAcentral.
AAUUAUUGACCCAAAUCCUUCACCCCUCACUGUACUAUUGGCCUUUGUUUUAUAACUUUGCAGUUACUCUUGCUAGACGUGGAAUGUACUUCCCUAUCCUUUGACCUUGUUUAUACUCAGCGUGUGACUUGAUUACACCAAUGGACUUUACUGCCCCUUCAACCUGGGCUUCAAAAGGUGAACACGUACAGCAGAUGUGAGAGCAACCACCAGCAAGGAACAAAACCUGCACUCAGCAGAACCCAGCCUAGAUCCGCUGACCAGCCAACCAACAUAGAGAUACAUUCAUGAGAAUAAAUAAUUGCUGUGCACAGAGGAAAGGCCAUAUGAUCACACAGAGGGAAGGUGGCCGUCCACAAGCCAAGAGAAGAGGGCUCAAAAUGAAACCAAUCCACCUGGAGCCUGGAUCUGGGGCUUUU